Molecule: ribosomal RNA, 401 nt
Filed under: uncultured bacterium
Lineage: Bacteria
Description: bacterial SSU rRNA
Rfam family: Bacterial small subunit ribosomal RNA
Source: RNAcentral
AACGAACGCUGGCGGCGUGGAUUAGGCAUGCAAGUCGAACGUGAAAGGGGCUUCGGCCCUGAGUAAAGUGGCAAACGGGUGAGUAACGCGUGGAGAACCUGCCCGGAAGCGGGGGAUAACACUUCUAACGAGGUGCUAAUACCGCAUGUGUCUGCGUGAGCGCAUGCUCGCGCAGGUAAACGUGGCCUCUGCUCGCAAGCUACGGCUUCCGGAUGGCUCUGCGUCUCAUUAGCUAGUUGGUGGGGUAACGGCUCACCAAGGCGACGAUGGGUAGCUGGUCUGAGAGGAUGGUCAGCCACACUGGGACUGAGAUACGGCCCAGACUCCUACGGGAGGCAGCAGUCGAGAGGCUUCCGCAAUGGGGAAACCCUGACGGAGCGACGCCGCGUGAGCGAUGAAGG